Molecule: long non-coding RNA, 480 nt
Organism: Suricata suricatta (meerkat)
Lineage: Eukaryota; Metazoa; Chordata; Mammalia; Carnivora; Herpestidae
Exons: 4
Source: RefSeq, a predicted model, not a curated record
CCCGAGGCCAGCACGCCCUGCGCCCCGCCGCCCUCCCGCGGGCGUGUGCUGGCGGCGCGCCUCCCGCUGAGUCAGCCGGACAUCGGGGCUGAGCAGUCGUGAGCGCUGUGUGGCCCCCAAGCCCGAAGUGUUGACUGCCGUCUACCUUUACAGAGUUGCUGCCACACUCCAGGGGGCGCUCAUGGCCUUGGCUCUGAAAGAGGCUACAGUGUCCUUGAAGAGUACUUUCAGGAGAGCCCUUCACCGCUUCACUGGCAUCCCAGGCCACCCUCUAUGUGCUGUGCUCUCAAGCAGGGGGUUCCUCCCUCCAGCCUGGGGGACCCAGUACAAAGCACAGCCGCAGAAAAGGGCCUCUUCACCCAUUGGCAGGGGCUUUCUGGCUCUCAGUCUUCAUGACUCCCGUAGACACCCGCCUUUGACCUAAGAGAGAGCCCUCAAACUCCAAGAACAAUAAAUACACAUACCUGUUUGUUUAUAUCA